CCCAGACUCCUACGGGAGGCAGCAGUGGGGAAUAUUGCACAAUGGGGGAAACCCUGAUGCAGCAACGCCGCGUGAGUGAAAAAGCGUUUCGGCGCGUAAAGCUCUGUCAGCGGGGAAGAAAGAAGACGGUACCCGACCAAGAAGCCCCGGCUAACUACGUGCCAGCAGCCGCGGUAAUACGUAGGGGGCAAGCGUUAUCCGGAUUUACUGGGUGUAAAGGGAGCGUAGACGGUUAUGCAAGUCUGAAGUGAAAGCCCAAGGCUCAACCAUGGGACUGCUUUGGAAACUGUAAAACUGGAGUGCAGGAGAGGUAAGCGGAAUUCCUAGUGUAGCGGUGAAAUGCGUAGAUAUUAGGAGGAACACCGGUGGCGAAGGCGGCUUACUAGACUGUAACUGACGUUGAGGCUCGAAAGCGUGGGGAGCAAACAGGAUUAGAUACCCCCGUA
RNAcentral lists this ribosomal RNA (446 nucleotides) under uncultured bacterium. Its description in RNAcentral is "bacterial SSU rRNA". It matches the Rfam family "Bacterial small subunit ribosomal RNA", at positions 330 to 792 of the family's 1533-position model. The record is from RNAcentral.